GAGUGCGCAGGCGCCGGCCGUGAGGACCGACCGUGCGCCGGGCUCGAGCGCGGUCUGAGAGCGCGGCGGCGGCGGCGACGGCGGCUGGCGGACGGACGGACGGACCGCGGACCGACGCACGGACCCCGACCCGCGAGCCCUAGGAGCCGGCGGCCUGAGGAGGGGCCGCGUCGCCAUGUCGCCCCGCACCUGCUGAACCGGGAGCGCCCGAGGAUGUCCGCGCUGAGGAAGGCUUUCCCGCCAUCCGAGGCUUGGCCCUAGCCCUGCGCGGCAUCCCUCUCGGCUGCGAACCCUCUGCCUGCGCCCGGCCCAGCCACAAUGGGGACUGCUCAGGUUUUGCCUGGCAUUCUGCAGAAGCAUUGCUGUAUCUUACCAGACAGGAAUACAGGCCAUCUCCAAACUAGAGUCACUUUGGGCUGGGGCACCAAUGUAUGGAUUUGAUGUGUGCAUAUUUCAGUUUAUAGCACUCACCAAACCACAGAAGCUUCCCAGAGCUGAUGUCAUGCUGUCGCUGAGGCCACAGGACACUGUCCCAUUGCUGCAGGGACCCUCUCACUCUCUGAGCGGUCACCUGAGGCUGGCGCACACCAUUUUCUUAUUCUAUGCACUGCAGCAAAAAUGUUUAAUUGACUGCAAUGGGUGAUUCCUAAAGGUAUAUUUGACUCAGAAAAAAAUGCAUUGGUAAAAGUCACUGUUUGAAUGUUUCCAGUAUUCAGAGCCCAGGUCACUACCUUUCUAAAAUGAUUGGUAUCUGAAAUAAGAACCCUGGCUGCAGCCUACAACCAUGCUCUUUCUACUGUAUAAACCUCCCUAAUCAAAUACUUUUUCAUAACAACAUAUGUUUUUGGAAAUGAAAAGUUAUGACCUGG
Cebus imitator (Panamanian white-faced capuchin) is the source of this 869-nucleotide long non-coding RNA. RefSeq lists it as uncharacterized. Lineage: Eukaryota; Metazoa; Chordata; Mammalia; Primates; Cebidae. The record is from RefSeq and is a predicted model, not a curated record. The transcript is spliced from 4 exons.